This 468-nucleotide ribosomal RNA is filed under the name uncultured bacterium. RNAcentral's name for it is "partial 16S ribosomal RNA". It matches the Rfam family "Bacterial small subunit ribosomal RNA", at positions 28 to 507 of the family's 1533-position model. The record is from RNAcentral.
GACGAACGCUGGCGGCGUGCUUAACACAUGCAAGUCGAACGGAAAGGCCCUGCUUUUGUGGGGUGCUCGAGUGGCGAACGGGUGAGUAACACGUGAGUAACCUGCCCUUGACUUUGGGAUAACUUCAGGAAACUGGGGCUAAUACCGGAUAGGAUCUCCUGCUGCAUGGUGGGGGUUGGAAAGUUUCGGCGGUUGGGGAUGGACUCGCGGCUUAUCAGCUUGUUGGUGGGGUAGUGGCUUACCAAGGCUUUGACGGGUAGCCGGCCUGGGAGGGUGACCGGCCACAUUGGGACUGAGAUACGGACCAGACUCCUACGGGCGGCAGCAGUGGGGAAUAUUGCGCAAUGGGCGGAAGCCUGAUGCAGCAACGCCGCGUGCGGGAUGACGGCCUUCGGGUUGUAAACCGCUUUCGCCUGUGACGAAGCGUGAGUGACGGUAAUGGGUAAAGAAGCACCGGCUAACUACGUG